UUUGCUAGCCCGUGACCUUCCUGAGACGCUGAGUGUGUUCGUGGGGGUCGACCUCUUCGAGAUUAGGGUUGCCGUCUUCCUCGAGAUCUUUCAAUCGAGGGCUCUUCCUCUUUCCCUAUUGUUAUUACUCGAUCAUUAUGAACCGAUCUCUGCUGUUGUCGCGAUUCCUCUUCCUGUAACGUAUUCUUUCCCUUCCUAUAUAUCAAGAUCGUCUGCGGUGAGGUGCUUCCGUCGCUAACGCCGCCGUCCCUAACGUCGCCGGCGCCUACUCUACGUUCAACACUCUCCGCCUUGGUAGAUCAGCUCAGACCAUUGCUACUCGCCUCAUCCGGUUCUGGGAUUCUCGAAACAUCCACAAGAAUGGGGAGUUUAUGGGAAUAACUAUUCUCCUCCUCAGAUGAACAGGACUCGGUGAUUCAUGGUUUCAUCCCCGCUAACCGGGCCAGCCAGUUCCGGUCGUGUUUGAAAGCCGGUUCCAUUGUGAGAUUGGAUGGUUUUGAAGUUGCUCGAGUCGCUCACAUGUACAAGAUCACAGAACUUCAGUUCGUGAUCCGUUUCAUCCCUUCAACACGUAUUGUUGAAGUCUUGGCUGACGCUCUUGUGAUCAAGUCCGACAAGUUCCUGGUCCGGCGUAUUGAUCAUCUUUAAGUGCUUGCUAACACUAACCUUGAGCUCCCAGACGUUGUUGGUGAAAUACGUUCCGUUCAGGGGUCUGAUCUCCAAAACGACGCAGCUACUACCCGAAUUGUGGUCCACUUACUCAUCG
Brassica oleracea var. oleracea is the source of this 766-nucleotide long non-coding RNA. RefSeq lists it as uncharacterized. Lineage: Eukaryota; Viridiplantae; Streptophyta; Magnoliopsida; Brassicales; Brassicaceae. The record is from RefSeq and is a predicted model, not a curated record. The transcript has 4 exons.